CUCUUCUUGUCACCUACAGGUAAUUACAAUUGACUACAACCAACAACAUAUUCUGCUGCACUAUAUCUAUAUACGCAAAACUAAUUCUGCUGGGUAAUUACAAUUGACUACAACCAUCAACAUAUUCUGCUGCACUAUAUCUAUAUAUGCAAAGCUAAUUCUGCUGGGUAAUUACAAUUGACUACAACCAUCAACAUAUUCUGCUGCACUAUAACU
Molecule: long non-coding RNA, 216 nt
Organism: Pseudophryne corroboree (corroboree frog)
Lineage: Eukaryota; Metazoa; Chordata; Amphibia; Anura; Myobatrachidae
Exons: 3
Source: RefSeq, a predicted model, not a curated record